GCGCCGGUAGCUCAGUGGCAGAGCACUAUCUGCUCCACGCAAAUGGAGCGGAGCUCAGCAUUCGCCCGUUCCCGGCGCG
RNAcentral lists this transfer RNA (79 nucleotides) under Bradyrhizobium sp. Its description in RNAcentral is "tRNA-Xxx". Lineage: Bacteria; Pseudomonadati; Pseudomonadota; Alphaproteobacteria; Hyphomicrobiales; Nitrobacteraceae. The record is from RNAcentral. RNAcentral also lists the same sequence under 2 other names.